GAUGAAGAACGUAGCGAAAUGCGAUAAGUAAUGUGAAUUGCAGAAUUCAGUGAAUCAUCGAAUCUUUGAACGCACAUUGCGCCCGCCAGUAUUCUGGCGGGCAUGCCUGUUCGAGCGUCAUUUCAACCAUCAAGCCCCCGGGCUUGUGUUGGGGACCUGCGGCUGCCGCUGGCCCUGAAAAGCAGUGGCGGGCUCGCUGUCACACCGAGCGUAGUAGAUUUUAUCUCGCUCUGGGCGUGCUGCGGGUUCCGGCCGUUAAACCACCCUUUUAACCCAAGGUUGACCUCGGAUCAGGUAGGAAGACCCGCUGAACUUAAGCAUAUCAUAAGCGGAGGA
This 336-nucleotide unclassified non-coding RNA is filed under the name soil metagenome. RNAcentral's name for it is "partial contains 5.8S ribosomal RNA, internal transcribed spacer 2, and large subunit ribosomal RNA". The stretch from base 1 to 120 matches the Rfam family "5.8S ribosomal RNA", at positions 35 to 154 of the family's 154-position model. The record is from RNAcentral.